Mauremys reevesii (Reeves's turtle) is the source of this 362-nucleotide long non-coding RNA. RefSeq lists it as uncharacterized. The transcript is spliced from 3 exons. Lineage: Eukaryota; Metazoa; Chordata; Testudines; Geoemydidae. The record is from RefSeq and is a predicted model, not a curated record.
CCUGGCUGCCGAGCCCACGUGUUGCAGGCCCUGCGCUUUGCUCCCCAGUCGGAGCCUUGCAGGAGCUUGGAGCCUAGCUGGCAUUUCCCCACAUUGUCUCCUCAGGAGCUGAUUGAUCACGAGUCCGUCGACUCCCUGACCGGCGUGAUGCGUCAGCAAGCAAUGCUCGCCAUCAUGAAGCUGAGCUACCAUUGGAAAUACUGUUGAAACAGAUGGUAGCAGUCGGCAUUCACUACACUCAGAUUCUAAUACGUCUUUGGCAGCUCAAGGACAAUCCAUUGGUGUGUCAGUCUUAUGAAGGGUUAAAGUGCUCCAGCACCAUCAGCUACCACACAAAAAAUCCAGGCAGAAGUCUUUGAAGG